This 407-nucleotide ribosomal RNA is filed under the name uncultured bacterium. RNAcentral's name for it is "bacterial SSU rRNA". It matches the Rfam family "Bacterial small subunit ribosomal RNA", at positions 355 to 773 of the family's 1533-position model. The record is from RNAcentral.
UGGGGAAUAUUGCACAAUGGGCGAAAGCCUGAUGCAGCGACGCCGCGUGAGGGAUGACGGCCUUCGGGUUGUAAACCUCUUUCAGCUCCGACGAAGCGAAAGUGACGGUAGGGGCAGAAGAAGCGCCGGCCAACUACGUGCCAGCAGCCGCGGUAAGACGUAGGGCGCGAGCGUUGUCCGGAUUUAUUGGGCGUAAAGAGCUCGUAGGCGGCUUGUCGCGGCGGCUGUGAAAACCCGUGGCUCAACCAUGUGGUCUGCAAUCGAUACGGGCAGGCUAGAAUUCGGUAGGGGAGACUGGAAUUCCUGGUGUAGCGGUGAAAUGCGCAGAUAUCAGGAGGAACACCGGUGGCGAAGGCGGGUCUCUGGGCCGAUAUUGACGCUGAGGAGCGAAAGCGUGGGGAGCGAAC